Molecule: ribosomal RNA, 37 nt
Filed under: Stylophora sp. PG-2017
Lineage: Eukaryota; Metazoa; Cnidaria; Anthozoa; Scleractinia; Pocilloporidae
Description: partial 28S ribosomal RNA
Source: RNAcentral
CGCCGGACCUCAGAUCAGGCAAGGCUACCCGCUGAAC